Molecule: ribosomal RNA, 301 nt
Filed under: uncultured bacterium
Lineage: Bacteria
Description: partial 16S ribosomal RNA
Rfam family: Bacterial small subunit ribosomal RNA
Source: RNAcentral
CAGCAGCCGCGGGAAUACGGAGGGUGCAAGCGUUACUCGGAAUCACUGGGCGUAAAGGACGCGUAGGCGGAUUAUCAAGUCUCUUGUGAAAUCUAACGGCUUAACCGUUAAACUGCUUGGGAAACUGAUAAUCUAGAGUAAGGGAGAGGCAGAUGGAAUUCUUGGUGUAGGGGUAAAAUCCGUAGAGAUCAAGAAGAAUACCCAUUGCGAAAGCGAUCUGCUGGAACUUAACUGACGCUAAUGCGUGAAAGCCAGGGGAGCGAACGGGAUUAGAUACCCCCGUAGUCCCUGUCUCUUAUAC